GCGAUCAUACCAGCACUAAUGCACCGGAUCCCAUCAGAACUCCGCAGU
Molecule: ribosomal RNA, 48 nt
Filed under: Chenopodium album (lamb's quarters)
Lineage: Eukaryota; Viridiplantae; Streptophyta; Magnoliopsida; Caryophyllales; Amaranthaceae
Also listed under: 9 other names
Source: RNAcentral